Molecule: ribosomal RNA, 492 nt
Filed under: uncultured bacterium
Lineage: Bacteria
Description: partial 16S ribosomal RNA
Rfam family: Bacterial small subunit ribosomal RNA
Source: RNAcentral
AGUGAACGCUGGCGGUAGGCCUAACACAUGCAAGUCGAACGGCAGCACAGUAAGAGCUUGCUCUUACGGGUGGCGAGUGGCGGAAGGGUGAGGAAUACAUCGGAAUCUACUUUUUCGUGGGGGAUAACGUAGGGAGACUUACGCUAAUAUAGCAUACCACCUACGGUUGAAAGCAGGGGAACUUCGGACCUUGCGCGGAUGGAUGAGCAGAUGUCGGACUAGCUAGUUGGCGGGGUAAAGGCCCACCCAGGCGAAGAUCCGUAGCUGGUCUGAGUGGAUGGUCAGCCACACUGGAACUGAGACACGGUCCAGACUCCUACGGGAGGCAGCAGUGGGGAAUAUUGGACAAUGGGCGCAAGCCUGAUCCAGCCAUCCCGCGUGGGUGAAGAAGGCCUUCGGGUUGUAAAGCCCGUUUGUUGGGAAAGAAAAGCAGCAGGUUAAUACCACGCUGUUCUGACGGUACCCAAAGAAUAAGCACCGGCUAACUUCGUG